UUGCCGGUGGCCCCGCUGGCGGGGCAGUGGCCCGGGAAACCACGGCCAACAGCCGCCGAAGGGUGGAAGAAGCUUCCAUCGAGUCCUUCCCGGCCAG
RNAcentral lists this transfer RNA (97 nucleotides) under Gemmatimonadota bacterium. RNAcentral's name for it is "tRNA-Pro". The record is from RNAcentral. Lineage: Bacteria; Pseudomonadati; Gemmatimonadota.